Molecule: long non-coding RNA, 26755 nt
Filed under: Vitis vinifera (wine grape)
Lineage: Eukaryota; Viridiplantae; Streptophyta; Magnoliopsida; Vitales; Vitaceae
Description: long non-coding RNA (VVIN_LNC002879)
Source: RNAcentral
CCCAAACAUGGAAAUGGUGAAGGCUGGGCUUCUUUCCUGACCAUAGCUCAUAAGGUGUCUUAAACACAGACUUACUAGGCACUUGAUUCAAAAUAUAUGCCGCAGUCCUUAAGGCUUCACCCCACAAAAAUUCUGGUAAGGAGGAAUUAGACAACAUGCACCUCACCAUAUCCAACAAUGUGCGAUUCCUCCUUUCUGCAACCCCAUUCUGUUGAGGAGUGUCUGACAUUGUAUAUCUAGCAUCAAUGCCGCAUUCCAACAGAAACUUAGCGAAUGGUCCAGGAUUCCGUCCAGUCUCAUCAUAUCUCCCAUAAUACUCGUCAUCUCUAACCAAUCUCUCUAAUCUUUGCCUAGAAAUAUGACCUAGGCGUUUGUGCCACAAUAUGGAAGAACUCAAAUUUACUUGGCUUAUCAACUCUCAAAGCCCAGUCCAAAAUGUGCAUAGCCAUAUGCACAUUGAAAGACUCAAAACAUUCCUCAAAAUUAUUCCAGUAAGAGGUUUGAUGGCAGACAAUUGCAGAGUAAUACCAGGAUUGCUAGUAGCUGGAAAAUAGCAAAUUAAGCAAUAUGCAUGUUACUACAAAAUCAUGCAUUUGCUAGUUUCCAGAAUUUCUCAAUUUAGCAACAGCUUGGAAUUUUGAAAAUUCCACGGCGGUAAGGACAACCAAUUAAAUAUCACAACCAAGAUGCACUAAUUUUAUUACCGAAAGGGCAAAGAAAAUUAGUACGAUUCAUAAUAUAAAAUAAAUUUCCUUCACCAAUCCAAACAUCCUACCAAAUAUUAUAAUCAUCGAUAGGACAAUCACAAUACCCGUAUGGACCUUAGUUAUCACAAUAAUAAAACAAUCAAAAGAGGGAGAUAAAAUAUCUCAACAAAGACAAUUUGACACAUAUAGGAUCACGAUAGGCAACCACACAUAUGUUCACUAUUAUCAUGUAUAAAAUUAAAAAUAUCUUAAUUUUCACAAUUUGACACACUUGGAAUUGCGAUAGGCAAUCACACAAGUGUGCUUCAUUGCCUCAAUAAAUUGAAAUAUUUAACAAAAUUGACAUAGGACAACAUUAUUGAUAUAAGGAAAAAUUAUACCAUAAAGAACAAUAAUAAUAAUAAUUGUCCCAAUAAAGUCAAAUUUAACAAAUGCAUAAUAAUUCUAGCAUAUGCACAAUCAAUCCAAUAAUACCAAGGCAACAAACAAACAAAAAAAAAAAAUUGUUUUUUUUUUUUUUUUUUUUUUGACAUCAUCACGUCACUAUUCAUCUCCUUCCCCAGCUGAACACGGCCUGGUGCAAGAGAAAAAUUUUUUUUCCUUUGUUCGGCCAAAAUUUUGGGCAUUUUCCGACAAAAAACGCUUAGAUUUCCAUCCUCAAACAUCAAGCCUUCAAUCUAAUCCCAAAAUUUGCACAAAAAACGCAUAAUAGGAAGAACCAAAGCAAGCUCUAAUUCUCGAAAUCCCACCAAACAAGCUCAAAAAUCAAAUAAAAUGAUGGGUUUUGCUCCAAACAAUAUUCUCUACAAGUUUCCAACAACAAUCGGGCUUGAAAACAGAGAAUCAACAUCAAACGAGAAAUAAAAUUUCAAAAAAAAUGGUUUCCACAACAGGAAACGGAAAACCCAAAAAUAACCCAAAAUUGCAGCUCAAAUGUCAUCCAUGCUAGCUCUGAUACCAAUUGAAGAAAAUUUAAACAGCAUAGGAUCACAUGUUGACAUUUAAGCAUGCAUUGAACGGCAAAAACGGAAACGCUCACCUUGGUUAAUUCCGUGAAAAGCCAUUUCUUGCUCUUUUCUGGUAUUCAAGAAGCUCCUCCAGUGCUUGAUGGUGCGAGAAUUACGGGUUAAUGAGCUCUUUCCUUCUACACCCAGAUUUAGUCCAAAACGAGAGUGCGCGCUCUCUUUCAGCCAAAGGAGGAAGGAGCAAGGGGCCAAGCCUUUUGAGAAAAGCCCCUUUUUAUUCUUUUAUAUAUAUAUCACACACAUUAUUUGGACCACCACUUGACUUAAUGGGCCAGUCAAGUGAAUUAGGGUGAGCUCAUAAAAAAUCAAGCAACAAUAUGUGUCCAGUCCCAUUAUGGACCAUAAUGCAAAAAUAAAUAACACUGAUUUAUGACAUUAUUAAAUUGAUUAUAUAAGUCCACACAUAAAAAUUCCAACAGGAACGUGUUCAUAAUUAAAAGAGAAAAGAAAAUGAUAAAAGACGACCCUCGUUUUAUUCACCUCUAUUUUAAGGAGAGGUUUUGUACGUCUCUGCUUAUAGGUUCAGAGAAUCCCACAUCACAAGGAGAUCACAUCGAUAGCAGCCAACACUAAUAGAAUUGAGAAGGAAGGCGUGGGGUGAGGAUGACUUCCAGAGGAGUCAGCUUAGCCAAGGUAAUACUCAGGCCUUCUCUCAUGUCCACCGGAGCGUUCAAUGGUGUUGACAAGUCAAACCCUUGAAGCAGCCGACCAAUCACCAAGGGUAACAAUUUUAAGGCCAUGGUGAUCCCUGGGCAAGAUCUUCUGCCAGAACCAAAUGGGAUGAGCUCAAAAUGCUGCCCCAAAACAUCUAAAUCUGCAUGGCUCGUCAGAAACCUUUCCGGCUGAAAAUCUUCAGGGUCGGACCAGACACUUGGGUCACGGUGCAACUUCCACGCAUUCACGAACAAGCGGGUGCCUUUUGGAAUGUGGUAGCCAGCAACAUGACAGUCUUCCAUGGCUUCGUGUGGCACAGAUAGAGGAGCUGCUGUGUAUAGCCUCAGGGUUUCCUUGAUAACGGCUUGAAGGUAAAGCAGGUUUGGAAUAUCCGAUUCUUCCACCCACCUGCCUCUACCAACUUUUAGAUCUAGCUCCUCUUGAGCACGCUUCAAAGCAUGUUUAUUGUUUAAUAAUGCAGACAGAAGCCAUGUGGAGGUUGUAGCCACAGUCUCAGUGCCUCCCACUAUGAGAAUCUGCAUAAGUUUAAAAUUGUAGAAAUUUACCAAAAAAAAUUGAAGCUAUGACCCAAAUGCAUAAAAUAGCUUAAAAAAAAACAAAAAAACUGGAGAUCUUGAAAAAUAUUCAACAUUACUUGAAAAACUAACUUCUUGUCCAAUUCCACAAUUAUAUAUAGAGUAAGAAAGAAGAUAAAGAAAAAUAUGACAUAUAAUUCUCAUUGAUUGAUGAUAAUGGAUGUUAAUAUACAAAUGUAUUUGAGUUAUACUAUAAUUCAAAUUUUGUCUUCUACUCUAAUUCAAAUUCUAUAUUCUAUUCUAAAUAAAUGCUAAUAUUUAAAUUAAGAAUAAUAUUAACUUUCUCUAAUAUGCUUUACAAGAUGGAGCUCCUAUUAGAGAUUCCAAUUUUAGUCUUAAGAGAAAGAAAAUAGAUUACGAUGCAUUUAGUUUUUGUGGAUGGUGGUCUCUCUAUUCUCUAUUUUUGUGUAGGGCAAUCUCUCUGAAUCUAAGCGACGAGUAGAUUCGACUUGGUAGUUGAAAGAUUAGGUAAGAGUAGUGGGAAGAACUUGGAGAAAGAAAGCUUGUUGAAGGAAGAAUAGGAUUAGGAGCCAUGGAUGAAAAUUUUGGAAAAAAAUUGACGAAAUUUCGUGUUUUGGCAAGGGGCGAUACAAAAAGGGGAAGAAAUAUUGGAAAAAAUCUAUGAAAAUCACUAAAAUAUCGGUUAGGGCCGAUUAAUGGAUGACUUUUUAAGAAAAUUGCCCAAGACACCAAAAUAUUACCGAUAUUUCGACCAGAAAAAACGCAGAUUUUUUGGGCUACUAUAAGUGUGACACUCGAACCCAUAACCCAAAACCAGUGCACAUAGCCUACUUACUGGUUACCACUGGGAUAAUUUAUCUCUUAGAACCCGUUUGGUAGUGAUUCUAGUGGAAGUGUUUUUAUUUGAAGUGUUUUCUGCUAUAGUGUUUCUGUGAAAAACACUUUUAUGAUAAUCAGAAAAAAUGAUUUUAAAGUGUUUUUGAUAAUAUAUUGUAUAAAUAUAAAAACACUUUUAAUAUUAAUAAAUUACCAAAAAGGACAUACAAUUUUAAUUAAAAAAAAAUGGUAUGAUAAACAAAAAAAAACUUUUUAUUAAUGAAAAAACAUCUAAAUCACUAAAAAAAAUAACAUUGAAUAAAAGAUAAUUUUAAAAUUAAAACAAUAUAUGAUUACCUAUUAAUUUCUAUAUAAAAAAAAGACUUUUCUAAUUAAAAAUAAUAAUUUUUUUUAUCACUAUACUAAAAUUUUAAAAAAUAUUUACAAAAAACAUCUAAAUCAAUAAAAAUAAAAAGAUUGAAUAAAAGAUAAUUUAAAAGUAAAACAAUAUAUGACCACCUAUUAAUUUCUAAAAAAAAAAAAAAAAAUUUCUAAUUGAUUUAUCACUGGGGGCAUUUUUGGAAUAUUUCAAAAAAAUUGAAGUGUUUUUUUUAAAAAAACACCUGUCAAGUGAUUCUCUAAAAAUCACUUCAAGUGUUUUUCCAGAUUUUCAAAAGUGUUUUUUAAAAUUUGCCAAACACUUUGUUUUCAUCCCAAAAACACUUAAAAGUGUUUUUAAGGGUAGAAACACUUUUAAAAAUCACUGCCAAACGGGCUCUUAGUAUAUGAUGUGUACUAGAAGAAUAUAUAAUAAGAUAGUGAUAAAAACAAAAUAUUUUAAUAAACAAAUUAAUUCUAAUUAUUUUAUUUUUAAAUUUAAUUUAAUUGACCAUUAAAAAUAUAAAAAUUACAGUGAUAAUUUUCUUAACUUUUUUUAUAUCAUUUAUAUAUUAAUUAAAUAUAAAAAUAUAAAUAUGAAAAAAAUUUAUACAUAUAUCAUCAUUUAUUUUAUAUCAUUUAAUACAAUUAAAUUAAAUAAAUCAUAAUUUUAAUAUUAAACAUAUUAUAAUUAAAUAUCACAAUAUUAUUGUGGAAUAAUAUUUGAUGUAAUUUAAUAAUAAAUGUACACUUAUAAAAUUCAUAUUUUUUAUUGACACAUACAAUAUUGUUAUCAAAUAUGAUAAAUUAUAUUUUAUAUAUAUAUAUAUAUAGAUAUAUCAAAUUCUUAAACAAAACAAAUUUAAAAUGUCUAUUAUAUUUUUAUGAGAUUUUUCUUACAUUUUCAUGAGUUUUGAUUAAUUUUAAGUUUAUCGAUAUUUAUUCCCAAAAUAUCCAUCGAUAUAUUGAAUACAUUGGCGGAAUCAAAGUAUCGAUAUAUCAAUGAUUAUUGAUAUUUUCAUCAAUGUAUUUGACAUCAAACUAUAUAAUGGUUUAGAAGCUAAUGCAAUAGAUGAUAUAAGAGGUAAAUGAGAAGACAAUAUAAGGCAAAUCUCAAGUAGAGGCAAAGGAACAUGAACAUGUUUGUUUUCCCAAGACAUGUAAAAAAACAAUCAAAUCUUUGAGAAAGCUUUUAGAGAAACAGAGAGAGGUAGAAUUGAAGGUAAUAAAGAAGUACAUAUUAAAUUAGAGGAACCAAUACUAAUAGGAAGUAAAGGAAAAGAAAAUUAUGGUAGGUUUGAACCAGAAAAAUUUGGGGCUCUUGAUUAUAAAGAGGUGUUGAAAUCAAGAUAUUGCAUUGGAGACAGUAAAAAAAGAAGCAUUUAAAAUAGGAUAUUACAUUGGAGACCAUAAGGAAGGGAUUAUUGACAAUAGAUACACAUAACAAGGUCACUACCAUUUGUGGUAGAUAUAGGGGGAGACGUGCAGGGCCUAAGCCAUACCAUGUAGAGAAAAAAGAAAAUAGAGGAAAAUAUAACAUAUUAUUUUCAUUAAUGACAAUGAAUAUUUAUAUAAAAAUACAUAUGAAUUGUAACAUAAUUCAAACUUCAUCUCAAAAUAGAUAAAUACCAAUAUUCUAUUCUAAUUCAAACUUUAAUUCAAACUAAUAACAAAUUUCUACUCUAAUUCAAAUUUUAUAUUCUAUUUUAAUUCAAAUUUUAUAUUCUAUUCUAAUUCAAACUAAUAUAUAAUAAAUAGAUAAAUACCAAUAUUUAAAUUAAGAAUGACAUUAAUUUGGAUUGUCCCCAUGUCACUUGACUCAAACCAUGGAAAAGAGGGGCUAGAAACAAAUUCAGGAACCCCCAUGUUCAAUCUAUAGUGUACAUACCAUCCCAUGUUAUUCCACCACAAUCUCAAUCCAAUUAAGCAAACAACUUGCAAAAACUAUUUUAAGUGAUAUAUAUAAUGACCAAAGAUGCAGAGUCGUCGGAUGGAAAACGUAUUCAUAUCAUUAUUUUGACGACUAUAAAUGAAAGGGACGAGAAAAAAAAAAAUGAACCUAAAGGGUUUUUAUAUAGAUUUUUUUUUUGUUUACUCUCUCUUUUAUAUACCCGUCACCAUGCAUAGGUUCAGUGAAUCCCACCCAGCAAUUCCUAUCUAGUGGCACAUGAGGACAAUGCCACGUAUAGUGAUGGCGACAGCUAAAUAUUUUCCAUACUCCACCUCGCCCCAUGGCCCCAUCCUGAUAGAUGGGUUUUAGGAAAUGCUAUUGGGUUGAGGUCGAUUUUUGCAUCUUACUUUAAAGUAAAUUUGUGAAAAUUUAUUUAUUUUAUUUGAAUUAAAAUAAUUGAAAAUUUUAAUAAAAAAUUUGUAUACCUUAAAUUUGUAUUAUUUGUAAAGGAUUUUUCUAUGUUUUUUUUUUGUUUUUUUUUUAAUUUUACUUUUAAAGUCGGUUGCAAAAAUACACUUUUCCAAGAAAGAAGAAGCAGUUCAUGGAUAGGGGAGGAGCGUACCACUAUUGUUGCCUUGAUGACUGUUUCCCUUGAAUGGCCAAACAUGGAAGUGUCUUCAAGCACCGAUAGCAUCACAUCAAUGAAAUCCUGCAUCCUGCUGCCCUCGCUGUUGAGCCUAAUCUCAUGUUCUUCCACCCAACCUCCCACAAGAGAGUCCACUUCCUUCGCCACCCGCUUCAUCGACCCCAAAUACCCUUGUAAAUCCAUCCAUUCUACACCUGGAAUGGCAUCCGACAAAACAAAGGCCCCCGAUAGAGACAGGAAUUCCUGAAUUGUUGCUAUGGCCCGCCUUGCUUCCUCGAUUCCAUGGCCAGAAGUAUUGAAAUACCUCUUCCCUGCGAUCAUCUUUAGGACUAUAUUGAAGCUGAGGUGUUGAAACCAUUCACUCAUCACUACCUUUACUGGAUGGACCCAGUCGCUGCCUUUUCCAAGUGAGUAUAAAUCUUUAAUGGAAAGAUCCAAUUCCGAAAUCUGCACAUGCUUUAAUGCAUCGAGGCGACGGGCUGAGAGGAUUUCCAUCAUGGACAGCUUGCGCAUCUCACGCCAAAGGGCUCCAUAAGGGGCGAAACCAAAUCCAGCGUAGUUGUAUCCUAAGAGCUUUCCUGCACUGGAACUUGGGCGUGAGGCAAAGACCUUAUCAUUAGUGGUGAAGCAUUCUUUAACAGCCUCACGACUGCUCACCACAAGUGCGCGGUGCACUCCAAGGCGGAUCAUGAAGACGGGGCCGUGCUUAUCAGCCAUGGCUCCAAGGGUUCGGAAUAUUGGGGUUUGGCCUCGUAGUAGAGGAAGGUGACCUAGAAAUGGCCAGGCACCAGAUGGCUCUGGGGCUGACCUGCCCUUGCUCUUCCCAGCAAGAGUCAUAACUCUCCAUACACCAUACAACAAAACCAACCCCAGAAUUCCUGAGAUUGCUACUAACUGAGAAGGGGUAUCCAUGUUGGAUUGUCUGAGACUCUGCUGAUUCACUAUUUAGGUUCAAACUGGUAGCUAGAACUUUCCUCCUUCUUCCUCCCUCUAGACUUCUUUUUAUUUAUUUAAAUAUUGUUUAAUUAUUAAAUUCAUUAAUUUCAAUAGGAACAGGUCAAGCAUCCGUUAACUAUAAUAAUAUAAUAUAUCUAUGCACAAAGCCCAAUAAUUGAAUAUCAUACUAUUGCAGCAUCCAACAGCGUGCCCGGCCCACCCGGUCGGUUCUGGUAGAACCGCUCCCCUUUCGCACCCCCAAAAUAAAUUAAAUAACACCAAACACAGUUUCUUUAUGUUACAGAGUAUAACUUUGAGUUCUGUGCUAAUUCAGGCCUCAAUUUUUUACUUAAAAAAAGAUGUUUGGUAAAUCAAGUUAAUGAUUUAAUAUAAGUUAACAAUUUAAUUUAAGACAUUAAAUAUAUUUAAUAAAAUAAUUUAAUAUUUUAAUUUAAAGUUAAAAAUACUUUAAGUAUUAAGCUAAAAUAGUUAAUUUAUACCCAAUCUUAAAUACUUUUUUUUAUCUUAUUUAUCUAUAUUAGUGAGUAUAUUUUAAAUUAUAAUUCCACAUCCAUGAUUUAUUUUAUAUAAAAAUAUUUUAUAAUUAUUUUAUGUAUCUAUGAUACUUUAAAUAUGAAUAUUUAUAAAUAAAUUUAUAACUCAAAAUUAAUGAAAUGAAUAUGAGGAUAAAUAUUAGUUAAAUUAUAUAAAUGUAUCAAUUUGAUAAUUUAGAAUAAAUUUUAAUUGAACUUUAUCAAAUAACCUUAAUAGUUAAACUAAAAAAUAAUUAAUAAGUUUUAAGUUAACAACUUAAGAACAAUUUAACUUAAAGUUAACUUAAAUCAUUAAGUAAUUAAUAAGUAUUAAGUUUUAUCAAACACCCAUUUAAUCAUUAGAAGGCCAUGAUUGAGGUUAGCUCUAUAUAGGCCUUAGUGUAGGUUUUUAACAAGAAGAACAUAUCAAUCACUAUUUUAGAAGAGAACAUUAUUGGACUACAUCAUUGGAAUUCCCAACAUCAGAUAUCAAGCACCAAUAUAUAUAUAUAUAUAUAUCUAUAUGUGUGUGUGCACGUGCAUGCGCGCACAUGUGCAAAGAUGUUGUCCAACAGCUAACAAAUUUUUUAUCAAGGAUCUUGAUCAUAAACUCAAAUAUUUGUGUUGAGUAAUGGUUCACUUGUCUUCCAUGGAUGAGCAUUUCAUCACCACAUAUCCUACAUCUUAGAAGCCUUACUUAGUUGUCUUAUAUAUCUAAAUAAGUUGUAUAUUUGUCAAAAUUUGAAUGACAUUUUGUUUGAGAGAAAAAUUGAGUCUAGUUAAUAUUAUUGGAACCAAAUUGCAACCAUAAUCAACGUGCAUUUUUAAAUAAAAUUAGUUUCAUCUUAUUCACAGCAAGUUGAGUAUUAUUAUAAACACCCAAACUCGUUUUAAGGGAGAAUAUUAGGAGAGAUAAAAUAUAUUUUAAUAUUCUUUACUUUUAUAUAUAUAUAUAUAUAUAUAUAUAUAUAUAUAUAUAUAUAUCUUUUUAUACCAAUAUGUAAAGAGUAAUGAUUAGGAUCCAUUGCUUUAUUAGUUAAUCAGAAGCUGUUAGGGCUUAGUUUACACAUGCCAUUAACAUAACCACUAUACUUUUAGUUAGUGAGAAACCCAUUAGGUAAUAACUUUGUACUUAAGCCUCUUUGUUCAACCUUCAGAAUCAAAAGAAAAAUACAGAUUUAAAAUAUUGGUAUUAGUUCUUUCUUCUUCAGCUUUUUAAGAUGAUAUAAGAGCAUUCAAUUCAUGCAAUGGAAAGUUCAUUGGCAACAACCAUAUGAAGUACUUCAAGUUUCAAUCUAGUUUCAAUUUCUUAUCUGAAGACAAGAGAAAAAGCUUAAUUCUUUUUCUAUUUCAUCUUGUUUUUGCUCUUGCAGCCUUUUGUAUUUUAAUUAUCUUCAUGAAGGUCUAAGUUCAUGACGUAAUCUUCACAUGGGGCUGCAACAUUCUAGGAUAAUGUUAAGGGUUGGUAAUUAUCAUUUUUGAAUGUCAAUUUGACCUUUUUAUGUAUGUUGUAAGAGUUGGGCCUUAAGUAGGUGUUUAUUUUAAACAAACAUGUUUUAGGUGUUUGAUUAUAACCGGAUGUAUUUUGAAUGACAUAUUAAGGGGUGUUCAUUUUUUUGGCGUCAGUGCCCCUCCCAACCCUGAGUCUUUUGCUUGUUGAAAAGACUUAGGGCUUGUUCUACCAUUUUUAAUGGAUCCUCCGAACCAUUUUUAAAUGCACGACAAUGGGAGCAUGCAUGAAUUGUGAUGCAUAAUUCACACUGUAUGAAAGAUCUAGUCUCGUGAGGGUUAGGUACUGUAAAGCACCAACAAGUCCUCUAAAAUAACUCGGAUCUUCUAACAAGACAUUAUUUGAUGAUGUCCUGGUUUUGGCUUCAAGAGGUGUGCUUAUAGGCUUGCAAUCGACCAUAUUGGCUCUCUCAAGGAUAGUAACAACAUAGUGAGAUUGGGAUAAGUGAGGACCAUCAAAUAUUUGAGAAAUCUCGAUGCCAAGGAAGUGAUGAAUUUGGUCCAAGUCCUUCAUCGCAAAUUCAGAGCUCAAAAGUUGAAUGAAGGUUGAUACUAGAGCUAUGGAGGAACCUGUGAGGAGUAUAUCAUCUACAUAAAGUAAGAGAAUUAGUGUUCCAAGGUUAGAGUGAAAAAUAAACAAAGAUGGGUCACCAAAGAGUGUGAAUUCAAGUAGGGACCAUUGAGACCCAUAAGGAAAUAUUAGCCCCCUCAAAAUCCAAUUCUAAAGUUAACUCGAUAUUCCCUUAAAAAGAGUCAAUUGCACUCUAGUAUCCUAUGAUAUUAGAUCAAUAUAGAAAACUCAGGUUUGUGAUCUAAUAUCCAUUGCAUGCAAGUGCAUCAUAAACCAAUGUCCGUAAUCCAAUAAGGUAGUAGCAAUUGACCUUUUAGGAUUAGUUCUCAAUCCUUGAAUCUCAAAUCCUCCUAUAUCAUGAUCAACAAACAUGCUCUCAUCUAUGGAAGACAUAUGUCAAAUCCACUUAAGAAAUUUCUAUGAUCAUAGACUAUAUGAUCAUGAAAUCUUUAGGAUCAUCCAAUAGGACAUAUUGUCUCACACACAUGAGAUAUCAUGGUGCGUCUAUUGAGAAUGAGAAGUUUCCAAAUCAAUUUCGUUCAAAGAAAAACAAAUUUGCAACCAUUAGAAGUUUCAUCUACCCAUGAUCUUCCAACCAAUAGCUCUUCCUUAUUCCUUAGCACAUAAACAAUAAGGGGUUUGGGAGGGUGGAGGCUAGGGUUUUCUCUCUCUUUGUGGAUGGUGGAAAAAGACAAAAACUUAAAACUUUAACCCCUAAGGAGGUAUUUAUAGUUUCCCUAUUGGGUUUAAGUGACUUAAGCCCGCCAAAGACUUAAGUCACUAAAUCUAGACAAAAAAAAAUCAUAAUUUAUUAAUUAACCAAACAAGAUUGUCCAAUUAAUCAAUUAACCCAAUCCAAAGAUAUUGUUCACUAAUCCAUAUGCAAUCUUAUGAAAUUACCAAAACGUCCUUAGGCACAUAAGUGAACUAAGAGUAAAUCCAACCCUCAUAAACUAUGCUAAUAAGCUAUAUAAACUCAAGUGAGGACUAAUGGGACCUAUAAGACAGUACUAGUUCUCUUAAAAUCCAAUUUUGAAGCUGAUUCAACAUCCCAUUAUAAAAAAUUAACUAUACUCCAGUACCUUAUGUAAAUAACUACGAUAUGCUAAGUGAUCAGAUCUAUGACCUGCUAUUUGUUGUAUACAGUCUCUUUAUGAACUAGCAUUCGUAGUUUAACAAAGUGAAAUCUAUUAGCUUCUCAAGAUUACUUCUACUAUUCUUGAGUUAUUGAUCCUCCUAUUGUGUGAUCAUCUGACAUAUGUCAACUCACAAAGAGCUUAUGUUGAGUUCCACUUGAGGAACUACUAUGACUAUAGUUUACAUGAACACAUCUCCUUAGGAUCAUUCAAGGGGACACAAUAUCUCAAUCACAUGAGAUGUAAUGGUGUCUCUAUUGAAAAUACCUAUCAUUGUCAGCUUCCAUCAACGAUAACUCAAUCCAUAAGGAAUAUAUAAUCACUUUAGGAUCUUACUCAAAGGUCAAAGCCACUACUAACUUCAACACAAGUUCAAUAUUCUUUCAAGGUUGAAAAACAAUACAACAUAGCAACUUAGUGAAUUUAUGACUAAUUGGUAGUCUUAUGUCAUGAUUCACCAUAGGUCAUGUCCAAUGUGUAACUACACACACUAGUGUACUAACCAUGAGAAUUUCAUCUCGAUGACCAAGACUAGUCAUCCCUCCAAUUAAGAGAUAGUGUAUUAUAACCUCUGAUGGGUUACUUAAGCUCACGAGCUAGUUGUGAACAAGUCAUCUAUUUGUAAGGAACCCAUGACUUGGAUCUUCCAUGAAAAUCCUUAUGCACCCAACUCAUGUAUAAUGGAAGAGAUGCAAGCCAAAAUACUCAUAAAGUACAAUGUAUGGAAUGAGGAUAAAUAAAAGUGAAACUAGAAAUUUAUUAAUAAAUAAUAAACUCCAAAUUUUGUUACAUCAUAUCAUGCUUUGGAGGGUUCUAUCCUAAUAAGAAAUAUAUGACCUCAACCAUAAGGAAUAUAUGAUCACUUUAGGAUUUCACCCAUAGGUCAUAGUAACUAAUGACCUCAAGAUUACCAUAAUAUUCUCUCAAGGUUAAGAACCCAUGCAAUAUAGUAGCUUGGAAAAGUUAUAACAACUCGAUAGCCAUUAAUCAUGACUCUCUGUAGGUCCCAUUCAAUGUAUAACCAACACACUAGCACACUCAUCAUGGAAAACUCAUCCGGACAACUAAAAUAAGUCAUCUAACCAAUUAAAAAGUAGUGUAGACUGUGGCAUUAGAUGGAUUGCCUAAGUUCAUGAACUAACUGUGAACUAAUGAAUCAACUUGUAAGAAACUCAUGACUUGAAUCUUCCGUAUAACUCCUAAUUCACUUAAUUCAUGUACAAUACAAGUUAUUAGGCCAUAAUGCUAAAUAAAUCAUAAUGCAAGAGUGUGAUAGUAAAUUGAAACUUAUAUCAUAUGUAAUGAAAUUAAAAUGUUAUAUCAUGUUACUACUUUUAAGAAAAUAAUUCUUAUUUGGAAAGUAAUUGCAUGAAAAUUUAUUUCAAUAAGAUUUACCAAAAACAUAUUUUCCUAGAGAAACUUAAUUAUAUCAUGUUACUGUUUUUGUUGAAAUAGAGUCUCUUACUAUUUUUAAUGAACUCUCUCAAACCUAAGAACAAGACGGAGUAAGUCAAUCUCCCAUUAAGUAAAAAAGAGACCAAGAAGGCAUAGAGCAUUAUGUUAUAAAACAAGAAAUGGGCAAGGACAAUAGUGAAUUCAUAGUCGUUAACCUACUUGAGUCAUAUGUUGGCUCUCAUAGCCAAGACCAAGUUGAUUUCCUUGGAGCCAAAAAAGUUUUGAAAACAAGUUUUGAGGCUCCAAAAGAAAAAAGAAAAAAAAUUAUUGCAUAUUUCCAAUUUAAACAACCCAUACCCACUUUCAAAAUAGAAAGUAACAGCGAAAGAAGACAUCCCAUAGUGUAGGGUGAAUCUUCCCUUUUUGUGGAGAAACUAUGGGAUUACAAAUCUCAUGUUCUCCAAGCCAUUGGGUAACUUACCUCUCCACGUUUGGACCUAUAUUUACCAUACUUUUGAUUGCCUAAAAAUAAAAAUGUUGAUUUAAAACAUUUGCCACCAAAAAAGAAAAAGAAAAAAAAUAGAUAUAGAGUAGGAUUUUCUCCAUUGACAUCUUUGAUAGUUUUUUUUACAAGUUUUUUUUUGUUAAUGUGUGAGUUUAGAAUUAAGGAUUGCAAUCAUGGAGAAAAUGAUGAGCUUGCAAGGUGUUGUGCCAAGAACGAGUUUUUAGCAUCUUCUUUCACUUCUUUUACUCACUAAUAGAGGUAAUAAUCCUUUUCAUUCUCCCUUUCAAUCUUUUUUGUGUAUCAUGCUAUAUUUCUCAUUCUCUUUCAAACAUUAAAGACAAUGUUCAUUUUAGGUUGAGGAGAGAAGGAAAAUGAAAAAAAUAAAUAAAUAAUUUGAUUAAAUUGUUAGAUGCAAAAAUAAGUUUAUAUUUUUUAGAAGGUAUUGUCAUUCUAGGUAGUAAUUUUUCAUCCUAUGGUUAACUUGAAGCAAAAUAUCUCUUGUUUUCCUAAGAAUGAAAUUCUAAGCUACAUUGGUCAUGCAACAUGUACACUAAGCUCUAAUUGUAGGUUGACGAUUUACACCUUUGACUUGUGAAUUGUUAGACUCUUGUGCACUUGAAUUGCAUUGAUAUAUAUAUAUCUAUAUAUAUAUAUAAGUAGGGACAGUUUGUAAAUUAUGAGAGAAGAAAAAAGUGAGAAAAAAGUGAAAAUUUAUUGAAAAUAUGAUGAAAAAAAGUAAAAAACAAAAAGGGGGUGAAGUGGAAAUUUUGUCUUAAAGCUUGAGCAGUUCUAAAAGGUGACUUUAACAAAAUCCUUGGAAGACUAAUGCCUUAAGCAAAUUGGUUGGAAGUCAUCAACCUCUAUGCUUACUAUGUGGGUUGAUGAGUGAAGUUUAUCAUUUGUAUGAUGUUAUUGUUUUUGCCUAAGCUCGAGAUGAAACCUAAGGGGUGACAUUUUCAAGGUUCUUGCAAGCCUAAUGCUUUGAGUCGAUUGGUCAAGAAGCAAUAGUAAAUUCUCACUACACAAGCCAUAUAGGAAGAAACUAUAACAUUCUAGACCCCACUAAAAAAAAUAAAAAAGGGAAAAAGUUAAAAAAUAAAAAAUAAAAAUAAGAAGAAAUGAAAAAGUGUAUCAUAAUCAUGUAGAUAAGAGUAUAGCAACAAAUUGGUGGGGGUUGUUAAAGAUUAUAAAUACAGUUGGAAGCUAGUAAAAUUAACACCCAAUGAUAGUUUGGAAAUGCCAUUAAGGAGACUAAGAAUUGAGAGCUUCAGUUAAACUUAAGGAUCCAUUUCUACUACUUAGUAUGACAUACUUCUCUCUUAUAGAAUAAUAUGAGCUGAUUAAAGGUUACUAACCCGAAAAAAUUGAAGCAUGUUUUUCUCAUUAGUUCAUGCUUUAAUUUAGGUAUAGUUUUAUCACUUUCCUUGCUAAGAUCUAGCAGUACGUUAGGUGGGAGCUAUGAUUGAUAUGAAAUUUCUCAUUAUUAUCAUAGUUAAACUAUGCAAACUCACGGCCAUAUAUUUACAAUAGCACUCAAUAUAUCAUGUUUUCGCAAUAUAAGGUGUUUUGAUCGGUUUAUAUGAGUUUUGCAAGAAAAUAUGUCAAAAAAGAACUUAAAUGAAACACUUUGGAAUUGUGACCUAAGAAGGAAGAGGAUUUAAUAUUCCAUGAAUUCCCUUCAAAAACCAUAAAAAGAAAAUAUGAAGAAAAGUUAGAUCAUUAAGUUUCCCAAUAGGCUAGCCUAGAAAAGAUUAGGCUUGCUAGGCUAGAGCCUAAUAGCCAAACAACCACCCUCUUUUGCAAUUUUAAGUUUAUUUCAUCCUUUAAAUUUGAUCAACACCUAAUUUAAUCACCCCAAGGUUUGAAAUAUCGGAAAAUACGGAUAUAUCAAUACUUGGAUUUUAUAGAUAUAUCGGUACUUAGAUUUUACGGAUAUAUUGAAAAUAUCGGUGAAUAUUUUGAUAAAAAUAUCGAUCGUAUUCAAAAUUCAUGAAAAUGCUUAAAAAUAUUUCAAAAAAAUAAUAAAAUAAAGAAUAAUAUACAUAUUAAAGUUAUUUUGUAUGUGUAAUUGAUAUAAGUAUGAUUAAAGAUAAUAUUUAUCAAUUUUUUAUAAAAAAAAUUAGCUUAAAUUCCUUUAAUAUAUUUGUAUUCAUUUAUUUUAAAAUUUAAAAAAUACUUUUAUUGAAACAUGUUUUAUUACAUUUUAAAUAAAAAAAAUUAAAUUGAUUUAUAUAAAAUAUUUUAUUUGAGAUUUAAAAUAUUUUAUGCGCAUUGACAUUGUUUAUUGGUCCUGAAAAUCAUAUUGAGCCUCACCGAUAACCGAUAUCGACAAAAUUUCACCAAUAAAAAUCAACAUUUCAAUCAUUGAUCAGCCCUACCACCAACUAACAAUAAAAGUUAUAUAAUGUUUGUUUAGACGUAGAAUGGAUUCACUCUCGUUAAAGGAUCAAUUAUCAUGACAUUUUGUGAUCUUUUUGUCCAUCAAAUAUAUUUCUUAUUUUUUAUUUUAAAAAUCAAGAAAUAGUAAUAGGUUUUAUGUAAAAAUAGUUGUAACUUUUAUAUGAGUUAUAAGAGCUCUUGAGUUAUAUUAAAAAUUAAUGAUUUUAAAAACUAUUUAAAAACAAAGUGAGAUAUUAAGAAAAUUUUGAUAUCUGAAAAUUUAAAAUUUCUAUAACUAAUUUUUAAAAACAUAAGGAAAUUUUUUUAGUUUUGUUAGAGAAAUGUUUUCAAAAAUAAUUUUUUUAGAAUUGUUUUUUAAAACUAUUUGUUGAGAUAUUAGGAAUGCUUUCCUUAUAUCAUUAUUUCCUUAUAUCAUUUAGUGUUCAGAUAUUAGGAAUGUUUAGAUAUUAGGAAAGUUGACAUAUUAUGAAUAUUGAGAUAUUNNNNNNNNNNNNNNNNNNNNNNNNNNNNNNNNNNNNNNNNNNNNNNNNNNNNNNNNNNNNNNNNNNNNNNNNNNNNNNNNNNNNNNNNNNNNNNNNNNNNUAUGAAUAUUGAGAUAUUAGGAAUAUUGAGAUAUUAGGAAAGUUGAGAUAUUAGGAUAUUAGUUGUUAUUUCCUUAUAUCAUUCUUUCCUUGUAUCAUUCUUUCCCAUUCUUAGAAUGGCUAUUACCCUCUAUAUAUACUCUGUACAUGAACGAAUGAAAUCAUGAAUGAAAAAACUAUCAUUUAUCAAUUUGAACAUGGUAUCAGAGCCAUGGAACUGAAAUCCUGGAUAUUUUGUUGCUAUGGUAGUCCGACAGCGAUCAACCAUCCUAAAACAAGCCCUAAUAUUGAUAAGUCAACCUUCAAAUGCACUCACUGCAAUAAGACUGAUCCCACCAGUCUAGAUAUCCCACAAUUUCAAAGCAACGACUCUUGGUAUGACCAAGAAAAAAAUGAGGAACCGAGGGUUUGAACCAUGGACCUUUAGAUCAUGUUUAGGUUAUCAACACUUUGUUAUUAAUGAUAAUAAUCGUGAUCAACGAAAGAAGGAUUCCAAGAAAACCUCGACUGCAACUGUUGACGAAAUAAAAAUAGAGGCUAAUGUUGCUAAGAAAGCCUCUGCAUUGGUAGUCGCUACAGAUCAUGGUGGUAAGUUUUUAAAUACUUUUACACCUGUUAUUAAUAGUGCAUGGAUAAUUGAUUAUGGUGCUACAGAUCAUAUGACUUUUGAUUCUAGACAGGUUUCACCCCUUAGACCUUCCUCACAAAAAAAAUUUUCCACAGCCAAUGGUAACACAACCCCAGUCAUUGGGGAAGGAUCCUUAACUCUUACUGAUACUUUGAAUUUGGAUUCUAUUUUAGUUGUUCCAUCUUUAGAUUACAAUCUUUUGUUAGUUUCUCAAAUCACUACAGCCUUAUCUUGUAUUGUCAUUUUUUAGCCUGAAUUUUGUGUGAUUAAGGACAUCCAAACAAGACAGACGAUUGGUUGUGGUAUUAAGCGGGGAAAACUCUAUUACUUGGACUUGCAGUCAAAAGAUUCAAAUAAGUUGCAACAAGCCUUGAUGGCAGAUGGAUUUGAGGGGGAGAAGAAAAAAUAUGAAAUUUGGUUGUGGCAUUGACGUUUAGGACAUGCUUCCUUUGGUUAUUUAAAAAAAUUGUUUCCUAGUUUGUUUGCAAAGAGUGAUAUUUCUAGUUUCCGUUGUGAUAUUUGUGAAUUGACUAAAAGCCAUCGUGCUUCGUUUCUGUUAAUUUUGAAUAAAAGUCCGUUUCCUUUUAUGGUUAUACAUUAUGAUGUUUGGGGCCCAUCCAAAGUCCCAACUUUGAGUGGCUCACGUUGGUUUGUUACUUUUAUUGAUGAUUGUAUCAGAAUGACAUGGUUAUGCUUGAUGAAAACCAAAGAUGAAGUGAACUUGUUGUUUCAAAAUUUUCAUAAAGUGAUUGGAACUCAGUACAAUGCAAAGGUUCGGGUUCUGCGUAGUGAUAAUGGUGGAGAAUAUCAAAGUUCUGAUCUUCCAAAGUAUUUGGAAAGACAUGGCAUCCUUCAUCAAACUACUUGUUCCGANNNNNNNNNNNNNNNNNNNNNNNNNNNNNNNNNNNNNNNNNNNNNNNNNNNNNNNNNNNNNNNNNNNNNNNNNNNNNNNNNNNNNNNNNNNNNNNNNNNNUCUGAUCUCAAAAGUAUUUGAAAGACANGCAUCAUUCAUCAAACUACUUGUUCCGAUACACCCCAGCAAAAUGGAGUCUCUGAACGAAAAAAUCGGCACUUGUUAGAGGUUGUUCGUGCUUCCUUGAUAGCAGCAAAAACACCGAUAUCCUAUUGGGGAGAAGCAAUCACAUCUGUCGCAUACUUGAUCAAUCAGGUACCUUUCUAGCUCAAUUAACUUUCAAACACCUCUCCAAGCUCUUACUAAUGUCGUACUUGCCCCAACCGUCCCAAAUCUACCUCCUCGUGUUUUUGGUUGCGUGGCAUUUGUGCAUCUACACAAGCACCAACGCACCAAGUUAACUUCUCAUGCAUUGCAAUAUGUGUUUGUUGGAUAUGCAUUGCACAAAAAGGGAUAUCGAUGUUACCAUCCUCCAACUCGACGAAUGUUUAUUACAAUGGAUGUGGUGUUUCAUGAAGAUUCGAUGUAUUUUUCAUCUGAGUCUGAACUUCAGAGGGAGUACCAUAAGGAAAUUCAGACUCUUGAUUAUGAUUGUCAUAUCUUUGAGGAGGAGGAAUCCGGACAAUUUGAACUAGUGAACCAGGAAGUGGGUGAGUUGGAUAUGAGUGGUCAAUAAUUUGGGUCCGAAGAUGUUUUCACUGAAAUACCAAACCAAUCGUCGUCUAUUGAGGGUGUUCUUAAUUUGGAACCCGAUCCAUUCAUGAAACGGUUACCACACCGUCAUAAUAGAGGUAUUCCUAAACCCACAUAUGAACCUGAAUUGUCUACCAAAGUCAAAUAUCCCAUGAGCAACUAUGUGUCUAACCAUCGUUUAUCUGAAUCAAAUAAGUCAUUUGUAAAUCAAUUAUCUACUGUAGCUAUUCCUAACAGUGUGCAGAAAGCCUUAGCUGAUCCAAGGUGGAAAGCAGCCAUGAAUGAAGAGAUGAAAUCAUUGUAGAAGAAUGAAACAUGGGAACUCGUAGAAUGUCCACCAGGAAACAAGCCAGUUGGGUGUCAUUGGAUCUAUACUGUGAAGUACAAGGCAGAUGGUAGUAUUGAACGAUUUAAAGCAAGACUGGUAGCAAAAGGGUACACUCAAACUUAUGGAAUUGAUUACACAGAGACAUUUGCACCUGUAGCUAAGAUCAACACAGUUCGAGUAUUACUGUCUUUAGCUGCAAACCUAGAUUGGCCAUUACAACAAUUUGAUGUGAAAAAUGCCUUUCUGCAUGGCGAGUUAUCUGAAGAAGUAUAUAUGGAUCUUCCACCAGGAUGCAUGGUGUCAGAAAAGUAAUGUCAGAAGGUAUGCAAAUUGAAGAAGUCAUUGUAUGGGUUGAAGCAAUCCCCGAGAGCAUGGUUUGGAAGGUUCACAAAGUCAAUGAGAGCUUUUGGCUAUUGUCAAAGUAAUUCAGAUCACACUUUGUUCCUGAAAAAGCAACAUGGUAAGAUUACGACACUCAUCGUAUAUGUGGAUGACAUGGUAGUUACAGGAAAUGAUCCUGAAGAAAGAAAAGCUCUGUAAAAUUAUCUAUCUAGAGAAUUCGAAAUGAAAGAUCUAGGUCAUUUGAAAUACUUUCUUGGGAUUGAAGUUUCUCGAUCAAGUGAAGGAAUUUUUCUGUCUCAAAGAAAGUAUGCCUUAGAUCUUUUACAAGAGACUGGAAUGUCGGGAUGUCAACCUGUUAAUACACUAAUAGAAGAAGGUCUGAAAUUGUGUGUUGAGCCUAAUCAAGUAUCAACCGAUAAGGGAAGAUACCAGAGACUUGUGGGGAGAUUAAUGUACUUAGCUCAUACAAGACCAGAUCUUGCUUAUGCAUUGAGUGUAGUGAGUCAAUACAUGCAUAAUCCUGGAGAGCAACAUAUGAAUGCAGUCAUGCGUAUUUUGAGGUAUUUGAAGAAUGCUCCUAGGAAGGGAAUUUUGUUCACUAAAAAUGUUGAUCAUCGGAGUAUAGAAGUAUAUACUGAUGCUGAUUGGGCCGGUGCAGUGGAUGAUAGGCGAUCUACAUCUGGUUACUUUACCUUUGUAGGUGGUAAUCUUAUGACAUGGAAAAGUAAGAAGCAGAAUGUUGUCGCUCGUUCAAGUGCAGAAGCGGAAUUUAAAGGUAUGGCUCUAGGACUUUGUGAGGCAUUAUGGCUAAGACUCCUCUUACAAGAUUUAGGUUACCUAUCUAGGCAAUCAAUUCGAUUGUUUUGUGACAAUAAAGCCGCAUGUGACAUUGCUCAUAAUCCAGUACAACAUGAUCGUACAAAGCAUGUCGAGGUAGAUAGAUUCUUCAUUAAGGAAAAGUUGGAUGAUAAGAUUGUGGAAUUGCCUAAGAUUCGAUCAGAAGAUCAAUUGGCCGAUAUCCUUACCAAAGCUGUCUCAAGUCAAGUGUUCUCAAAAUUUUUAGGCAAGUUGGGCAUGUGUGACAUCUAUGCACCAACUUGAGGGGGAGUGUUGAGAUAUUAUGAAUGCUUUCCUUAUAUCAUUAUUUCCUUAUAUCAUUUAGUGUUCAGAUAUUAGGAAUGUUUAGAUAUUAGGAAAGUUGAGAUAUUAUGAAUAUUGAGAUAUUAGGAAAGUUGAGAUAUUAGGAUAUUAGUUGUUAUUUCCUUAUAUCAUUCUUUCCUUGUAUUAUUCUUUCCCAUUCUUAGAAUGACUAUUACCCUCUAUAUAUACUUUGUACAUGAACGAAUGAAAUCAUGAAUGAAAAAACUAUCAUUUAUCAAUUUGAACACUAUUCUCUAUUGUUUUAUGGAUACACAAUUUGAGAACUUAGUUUAUGUUUUUAAAUAACAUUUGUCUUGAUACUUUGUUUUUUUCACUCUUCAUAUUUAUAUAAUUAGUUUUUUUAAACAAUCCAAAGAAAAUAAAAUGAAAAUAAAUAAAAAUAAUUAAAAUGUAUUAUAAAAAAUACUUUAUUUUAUGUUUUUAAGAACAAAAAAUUUCUAACUAUCAAACAUGUUUUUCUAUUUUUUUAUUCAUAAAAAUAAAAAAACUAUUUUUGAAGACAGCUUCCAAACAUACCUUUAUUCUUCCAAACCAUUUUUCUAAUUAAAUAUUUAAAACUAAUUUCAUCUUUCCAUCAAAUUAUAAGAAUAAAGGUAAUUAAGAUCUGUUUCUAAACAGGAUUUUGAAAAUUAUUUUUAAAUAUAAUUAAAAAACAAAAGUGCUACCCAAUAUACUCUAAAUUAUAUAGAAAAGUUUUUUUUUUUCUCCAAAUUCAUCCAUUGCAAGCAUUGUUCGUUCAAAAACAAGUUUUAUAAAAUAAAUUAGCAAAAAUAUAAUUAGACCAUCCAUAUUAUUUAUUAAAAAAAAAUUGAACAUCCUUGUUUGAUUAAUCAUCAUUAUAUAGAAGAGAACAAUAAGAUAAAAGCCCUAGUAUUUCAAAAAUAUUUGUAGUUCCAUAUAAUUUUCUAAAUUUUUAACAUUCCUUUUCUUCAUCUUUUAUAAACAAGGCUUGGUCCACGUGCAAGGCAUGUGAAAGCUAGCCUGUAUUAAGAAAAUAGUCUUUUACUAUAUUUUAUUUUAUAACAAUUAUAUUUACCUAUUUUUAGGUUACAAUUAUAGUCCAAAUUAAAAUUAAGACAAAAAUAUUUUUAAAGUUUUGUUUGAUAUUAUUUUAUUUUAUUUUAUUUUUUAUUUAGGUUGAAUACUUAGUUAUUUUCUAAUUAUAAAAGUUAAAAAUAUCAUAUAAAUAGGAUUAUUAUUUUAGUUUUUUAAAAGUUUUAGGAAAUAUUGUGUUUAGGAAAUUGGAUUUAAAUAGAAUUAAUAGUUUGUUUGUUUUUUUUUUAUUUCUUAAGAUUUUUGGAAAAAAUAUUAAAUAAAAAAUAAAAUUACUUUGAAUAGAUGCCUAAAAAUAUUUUUAGAGAUAAGACUUUUACUAAAAACCGUAGACCCCAUUUUGGGGCUCAUUUUUCUUGCAUUUUCUAUGGCUCAUUUUUUGGCCAGGUGCUAGGAUUGGAGAUGGCCACGUGUCACCUUAUGGUUAGCUGCUAGGGAAUCAUGUUAAUGGAUAGAGAAUGCAAUGGGGAAGAGACGCCUGUUAGGGAAUAUUCUGAGAAAAUGUGCAGGCCGUUAAAGAGGGGAGUGAUUUGGUUGCUGUUACAGAGAUAUUUUUUUUUGACUUGGAGAGCAAGCUGGAGAGGGGAAAAAAGAGCGUAUUCAGUUUUUGGGGGGAGAUAUUUUUGGGUGAGCUGGUUACAGAGAGGCAAGAAUGAGAACUGGAGAAAGGAAGAUAGCCUGAGCUGAGAGUAGUGGAGAUUUUUUGGGUUAAGAGGAUAGAGAAGCCUAGAGAAGGAGAUUACCAGGAGAGGAGCGUAUUCUGUCAAGGUGGCUGGAGAUAUUUUGGUGAGAGGAAAGCUUGAAGAGCAAGCUGGAAUGAGAGGAGCGUAUGAUAGCUUGUGAAGCAAGGGAGUCUUUGGUUACAGAGGAGGUUUUUUGAGGAGGGGUGGUAGGGUUUCUGUGAGAGAAGCCUGAGAGGGUUUUCAUAGCAGAAAGAGUUAGAGGAGAAGAAGUUGAACCAUCUUCGCUUGAGGAGCUCAGGUAUGGCCACUACGACUCCUAGAAGAAAAUCAAUGGAGUCUCACCAUUGAGGGUUGCAACCUUGCAAUGAAAGAAAGUAUAAUAUUAUUCAUCAAAAUUCAUCCCUUUGAUUUACAUUGAUUAGCCUAUUUAUAGGCUUCUCUAAGAAAUUCAAAGUCUACUAGGACUCUAAUAACCUAUUCUACUAGGACUCUAAUAACCUAGUCUACUAGGACUCUAAUAACCUAUUCUACUAGGACUUUAAUAACCUAUCAUGACUCAAAUUCUAAUUAUAUUAAUCCCUUUCGUUUUGGAUUUCUUGGUUUUCUUUCCUUGCCCUUGUUGAUCUUAAGCAUCAUUUGUUGGGUUUUAUUGAACCUAAGCUCGCAUUACACUUGUUCUAUUUUGUUGUCUCUCAUACUCUUGAUCUUUUCCACUGGCGGGAUCCUCCAUUGGGUUUGAUGUUUGAUAGUUAUAUUGAGGAUUUCUAGUUCAUCCCACUUGUUUUGAUCCCAUGGAUCGAUCUUGAGAUGUGGCUUCAUUGGGUUUCUAUCUUUCAUGAUUGUUAUCUUCCUCCAUUCUCUGUUUUUCUUUCACUAUUUGCUUUUGCUCAAAGAGACACUCCAGUUUCCUGGUAACUGUUUCAUCAAUGUUUUGAAUGGGCAUAGAUUUCUGGGAGGGCAAAAAUGAGUAAGUUCUGUGUUAGAGGAAGCUCACAGGGUGUUGGGCUUUGUGGAGCCUAGUUUUGUUUGAUCCGGUUUGACGACCCGACCCGAAUAAUAUUGCAUGGCCUUUUUAAUGGGAGAUUUAUUGAGGCCUGUUGGGCCCGUUUAGCCCAUUGUGGAACUACCUUUUGUAAUUAGGGUUUUUUAGUAUGGUAGGGUUGCCGUGCUAUAUAUAUAUAGAGAAUAUUGUAGCCGCCAAGUUGUACUCUGUAUUCUUCCCUGAUAAUAGUGAUAUCCCUGCAACUCCGUGGACGUAGGCAAAUUGCCGAACCAUGUAAAUACUGUCUUGUGUGUGUGAUUGUUUUUCUUUGGCGUGUGUUUUCUCUAAUUUUUUGUUUCUCACGGGUUGGGAAUUAGGUUUAAUUCCCUACAACUGGUAUCAGAGCCUAGGGUUAGGUUUGAGUGGGAGCAAUGGCAGAGGAAGCAGGAAAGGCGUCUGGAAUAGAAAAGUUUGAUGGCACAGACUUUGCGUAUUGGAGGAUGCAGAUUGAAGAUUAUCUCUAUGGGAGGAAAUUACAUCUGCCUCUUUUGGGGACAAAACCUGAGACUAUGAAGGCUGAGGAAUGGGCGCUUCUUGACAGACAGGUUCUAGGAGUUAUUAGGUUAACUCUGUCUAGGUCUGUUGCACACAAUGUUGUAAAGGAGAAGACCACAGCAGAUCUGAUGAAGGCUUUGUCCGGUAUGUAUGAAAAGCCGUCCGCAAACAAUAAGGUGCAUCUGAUGAAGAAAUUGUUCAAUUUGAAGAUGGCAGAGAAUGCAUUAGUAGCACAACCUCUUAAUGAAUUUAAUACAAUCACAAAUCAAUUGUCGUCUGUAGAAAUUGAUUUUGAUGAUGAGAUUCGUGCUCUGAUCGUCUUGGCUUCUUUGCCAAACAGUUGGGAGGCAAUGAGGAUGGCAGUAAGCAAUUCUACGGGAAAGGAAAAACUCAAGUACAAUGAUAUACGAGAUUUAAUUCUGGCUGAGGAGAUUCGCCGAAGAGAUGCAGGUGAAACCUCAGGAUCUGGUUCUGCCCUAAACCUUGAGACAAGAGGUAGAGGUAAUAACAGAAAUUCAAAUCAAGGUAGAUCAAAUUCCAAAAAUUCUAAUCGGAACAGAAGCAAAUCUAGAUCAGGCCAACAAGUACAAUGCUGGAAUUGUGGGAAAAUAGGUCACUUUAAAAGGCAAUGCAAAAGCCCUAAGAAGAAGAAUGAAGAUGAUUCUGCUAAUGCUGUAACAGAAGAGGUACAGGAUGCAUUACUUCUUGCAGUAGACAGUCCACUUGAUGAUUGGGUUUUGGAUUCAGGAGCUUCGUUUCAUACCACUCCACACCGAGAAAUCAUACAGAAUUAUGUUGCAGGUGAUUUUGGUAAGGUAUAUUUGGCUGAUGGUUCAGCCUUGGAUGUUGUGGGUCUGGGAGAUGUCCGGAUAUCGUUGCCCAAUGGGUCUGUUUGGUUACUGGAGAAGGUUCGACAUAUUCCUGACCUGAGGAGGAAUCUGAUUUCUGUUGGACAACUUGAUGAUGAAGGACAUGCAAUACUAUUUGUUGGUGGUACUUGGAAGGUUACAAAGGGAGCUAGGGUAUUGGCUCGUGGAAAGAAGACUGGCACUCUGUAUAUGACCUCAUGUCCAAGAGACACAAUUGCAGUUGCUGAUGCAAGUACUGAUACAAGCCUAUGGCACCGCAGACUUGGUCACAUGAGUGAGCAAGGGAUGAAGAUGUUGCUGUCAAAAGGAAAACUACCAGAAUUGAAGUCCAUUGAUUUUGACAUGUGUGAAAGUUGCAUCUUAGGAAAGCAAAAAAAGGUGAGCUUCUUGAAAACUGGCAGGACACCGAAGGCUGAAAAAUUGGAACUAGUACACACUGAUUUGUGGGGGCCUUCUCCGGUUGCAUCCCUAGGAGGUUCAAGGUACUACAUCACCUUUAUUGAUGACUCAAGUAAAAAGGUAUGGGUUUAUUUUCUGAAAAAUAAAUCUGAUGUAUUUGUAACUUUUAAGAAGUGGAAGGCCAUGGUUGAGACAGAAACAGGUUUGAAAGUAAAAUGUUUGAGGUCAGAUAAUGGAGGAGAGUACAUAGAUGGAGGAUUCAGUGAGUAUUGUGCUGCACAGGGAAUUAGGAUGGAGAAGACCAUUCUUGGGACACCACAGCAGAAUGGUGUGGCUGAGCGCAUGAAUAGAACUCUCAGUGAGCGUGCUAGAAGUAUGAGGUUGCAUGCUGGACUACCAAAAACUUUUUGGGCUGAUGCUGUUAGCACUGCAGCUUACCUGAUAAACCGAGGACCAUCAGUUCCCAUGGAGUUCAGACUUCCUGAGGAGGUUUGGAGCGGUAAAGAGGUGAAGUUUUCACAUUUAAAAGUUUUUGGUUGUGUUUCUUAUGUUCAUAUUGAUUCUGAUGCUCGUAGUAAACUUGAUGCAAAGUCAAAAAUAUGUUUUUUCAUUGGCUAUGGUGAUGAGAAAUUUGGCUAUAGGUUUUGGGAUGAACAAAACAGGAAAAUCAUCAGAAGUAGAAAUGUGAUAUUUAAUGAACAGGUUAUGUACAAGGACAGGUCAACUGUAACGUCAGAUGUUACAGAGAUAGAUCAAAAGAAAUCUGAGUUUGUCAACUUAGAUGAAUUGACUGAAAGUACUGUCCAAAAAGGGGGUGAAGAAGAUAAGGAGAAUGUAAAUUCAUAGGUAGAUUUGAGUACACCUGUAGCUGAAGUUCGCAGAUCUUCCAGGAACAUUAUACCUCCACAGCGUUAUUCACCUGUUUUAAAUUAUCUCCUGUUGACUGAUGGUGGUGAGCCAGAGUGUUAUAAUGAAGCCUUGCAAGAUGAGAAUUCAAGCAAGUGGGAGUUAGCCAUGAAGGAUGAGAUGGAUUCCUUGUUGGGGAAUCAGACAUGGGAACUGACUGAAUUGCCAGUAGGAAAGAAGGCUUUGCACAACAAGUGGGUAUACAGAAUAAAGAAUGAGCAUGAUGGUAGCAAACGUUAUAAGGCCAGAUUAGUUGUUAAAGGGUUCCAGCAGAAGGAGGGCAUUAACUACACAGAGAUAUUUUCUCCAGUUGUGAAGAUGUCAACAAUUAGACUUGUACUUAGAAUGGUGGCUGUAGAAAACUUACAUCUUGAGCAGUUAGAUGUGAAGACAGCAUUCCUUCAUGGUGACUUGGAGGAAGACCUUUACAUGAUUCAGCCAGAAGGGUUCAUUGUUCAGGGACAAGAGAAUCUAGUCUGCAAACUGAGAAAGAGCUUGUAUGGCCUUAAACAAGCUCCUAGACAGUGGUACAAGAAGUUUGACAAUUUUAUGCAUAGAAUUGGGUUCAAGAGAUGUGAAGCUGAUCAUUGUUGCUAUGUUAAGUCCUUUGACAAUUCUUACAUCAUAUUACUGUUAUAUGUGGAUGAUAUGCUUAUUGUAGGGUCUGACAUUGAGAAGAUUAAUAAUCUGAAGAAGCAAUUGUCCAAACAGUUUGCAAUGAAGGAUUUGGGAGCUGCAAAGCAAAUCCUUGGUAUGAGAAUCAUUAGAGACAAGGCUAAUGGUACAUUGAAACUUUCACAGUCAGAGUAUGUGAAGAAAGUUCUCAGCAGGUUCAACAUGAAUGAAGCUAAACCAGUGAGCACACCCUUGGGUAGUCAUUUCAAACUAAGCAAAGAACAGUCACCGAAGACAGAAGAAGAAAGGGACCAUAUGAGCAAGGUGCCCUAUGCCUCAACUAUUGGCAACUUGAUGUAUGCUAUGGUGUGUACAAGGCCAGACAUUG